AAAUUGAAGAGUUUGAUCAUGGCUCAGAUUGAACGCUGGCGGCAGGCCUAACACAUGCAAGUCGAACGGUAACAGGGAUCAGCUUGCUGAUUCG
This 94-nucleotide ribosomal RNA is filed under the name Escherichia coli. Its description in RNAcentral is "partial 16S ribosomal RNA". It matches the Rfam family "Bacterial small subunit ribosomal RNA", at positions 1 to 90 of the family's 1533-position model. Lineage: Bacteria; Pseudomonadati; Pseudomonadota; Gammaproteobacteria; Enterobacterales; Enterobacteriaceae. The record is from RNAcentral.